GACGAACGCUGGCGGUGUGCUUCACACAUGCAAGUCGAACGAGGUAGCAAUACCUAGUGGCGGACGGGUGAGUAACGCGUGGGAAUCUGCCCAAGGGUGGGGAUAACUAGCCGAAAGGUUAGCUAAUACCGCAUAUGCCGUGAGGUAAAGGAGAAAUCCGCCCCUGGAUGAGCCUGCGUCCGAUUAGCUAGUUGGUAGGGUAAAGGCCUACCAGGGCUACGAUCGGUAGCUGGUCUGAGAGGAUGAUCAGCCACAAUGGGACUGAGACACGGCCCAUACUCCUACGGGAGGCAGCAGUGGGGAAUUUUACACAAUGGGGGGAAACCCGUGAUGUAGCGACACCGCGUGAACGAAGAAGCCCUUUGGGGUGUAAAGUUCUGUCGGCUGGAACGAAAAAAAUAGACGGUACCAGCAAAAGGAAGCAUCGGCUAACUACGUGCCAGCAGCCGCGGGUUAAAU
RNAcentral lists this ribosomal RNA (459 nucleotides) under uncultured bacterium. Its description in RNAcentral is "bacterial SSU rRNA". It matches the Rfam family "Bacterial small subunit ribosomal RNA", at positions 28 to 526 of the family's 1533-position model. The record is from RNAcentral.